GACAGAGGUCCCGAGCGUUGUUCGGAAUUACUGGGCGUAAAGGGCUCGUAGGCGGCCAACUAAGUCAGACGUGAAAUCCCUCGGCUUAACCGGGGAACUGCGUCUGAUACUGGAUGGCUUGAGUUCGGGAGAGGGAUGCGGAAUUCCAGGUGUAGCGGUGAAAUGCGUAGAUAUCUGGAGGAACACCGGUGGCGAAGGCGGCAUCCUGGACCGACACUGACACUGAGGAGCGAAAGCCAGGGGAGCAAACGGG
This 253-nucleotide ribosomal RNA is filed under the name uncultured bacterium. Its description in RNAcentral is "partial 16S ribosomal RNA". It matches the Rfam family "Bacterial small subunit ribosomal RNA", at positions 524 to 776 of the family's 1533-position model. The record is from RNAcentral.